RNAcentral lists this ribosomal RNA (248 nucleotides) under uncultured bacterium. RNAcentral's name for it is "partial 16S ribosomal RNA". It matches the Rfam family "Bacterial small subunit ribosomal RNA", at positions 524 to 776 of the family's 1533-position model. The record is from RNAcentral.
UACGUAGGGCGCAAGCGUUAUCCGGAAUUAUUGGGCGUAAAGAGCUCGUAGGCGGUUUGUCGCGUCUGCCGUGAAAGUCCGGGCUCAACUCCGGAUCUGCGGUGGUACGGGCAGACUAGAGUGAUGUAGGGAGACUGGAAUUCCUGGUGUAGCGGUGAAAUGCGCAGAUAUCAGGAGGAACACCGAUGGCGAAGGCAGGUCUCUGGGCAUUAACUGACGCUGAGGAGCGAAGCGUGGGAGCGAACAGG